CCUACGGGUGGCAGCAGUGGGGAAUCUUGCGCAAUGCUCGUAAGAGUGACGCAGCGACGCCGCGUGAAUGACGAAGGCCUUCGGGUCGUAAAGUUCUUUCGUCAGGGAAGAAAAUGCCUAUAAGUAACUGUGUAUGUAUUGACGGUACCUGUAUAAGCAGCCCCGGCUAACUUCGUGCCAGCAGCCGCGGUAAUACGGAGGGGGCGAGCGGUGGUCGGAGUGAAUGGGCGGAAAGAGCACGGCGGCGGGGUAGUAAGUCAUUAGGCAAAGAGUAGAGCUCAACUUUAGUAAGGCUAGUGAUACUAUAAUACUAGAGUAUCAGAGAGGAUUGCAGAAUUCCUGGUGUAGCGGUGAAAUGCGUAGAUAUCAGGAGGAAUACCGUUAGCGAAGGCGGCAAUCUGGCUGGAAACUGACGCUGAGGUGCGAAAGCGUGGGUAGCAAACAGGAUUAGAUACCCCAGUAGUC
This 465-nucleotide ribosomal RNA is filed under the name uncultured bacterium. RNAcentral's name for it is "partial 16S ribosomal RNA". It matches the Rfam family "Bacterial small subunit ribosomal RNA", at positions 338 to 795 of the family's 1533-position model. The record is from RNAcentral.